This 496-nucleotide ribosomal RNA is filed under the name uncultured bacterium. RNAcentral's name for it is "partial 16S ribosomal RNA". It matches the Rfam family "Bacterial small subunit ribosomal RNA", at positions 29 to 507 of the family's 1533-position model. The record is from RNAcentral.
AUGCACGCUGGCGGCGUGCCUAAUACAUGCAAGUCGAGCGAACAGACGAGGAGCUUGCUCCUCUGACGUUAGCGGCGGACGGGUGAGUAACACGUGGAUAACCUACCUAUAAGACUGGGAUAACUUCGGGAAACCGGAGCUAAUACCGGAUAAUAUAUUGAACCGCAUGGUUCAAUAGUGAAAGACGGUUUUGCUGUCACUUAUAGAUGGAUCCGCGCCGCAUUAGCUAGUUGGUAAGGUAACGGCUUACCAAGGCAACGAUGCGUAGCCGACCUGAGAGGGUGAUCGGCCACACUGGAACUGAGACACGGUCCAGGCUCCUACGGGAGGCAGCAGUAGGGAAUCUUCCGCAAUGGGCGAAAGCCUGACGGAGCAACGCCGCGUGAGUGAUGAAGGUCUUCGGAUCGUAAAACUCUGUUAUUAGGGAAGAACAAAUGUGUAAGUAACUAUGCACGUCUUGACGGUACCUAAUCAGAAAGCCACGGCUAACUACGUG